CACGGGUAAAGCGUACGGAGAACAAGUGGAAUCGUACAGCGUAACUCUGCUAGCCGGAAUUACGUAGCGAAGGGGUGAGUAACACGUGAGUAACCUGCCCUUAACUCUGGGAUAAGCCUGGGAAACUGGGUCUAAUACCGGAUAGGAGCGUCCACCGCAUGGUGGGUGUUGGAAAGAUUUAUCGGUUUUGGAUGGACUCGCGGCCUAUCAGCUUGUUGGUGAGGUAAUGGCUCACCAAGGCGACGACGGGUAGCCGGCCUGAGAGGGUGACCGGCCACACUGGGACUGAGACACGGCCCAGACUCCUACGGGAGGCAGCAGUGGGGAAUAUUGCACAAUGGGCGCAAGCCUGAUGCAGCGACGCCGCGUGAGGGAUGACGGCCUUCGGGUUGUAAACCUCUUUCAGUAGGGAAGAAGCGAAAGUGACGGUACCUGCAGAAGAAGCACCGGCUAACUACGUGCCAGCAGCCGCGGUAAUACGUAGGGUGCGAGCGUUAUCCGGAAUUAUUGGGCGUAAAGAGCUCGUAGGCGGUUUGUCGCGUCUGUCGUGAAAGUCCGGGGCUUAACCCCGGAUCUGCGGUGGGUACGGGCAGACUAGAGUGCAGUAGGGGAGACUGGAAUUCCUGGUGUAGCGGUGGAAUGCGCAGAUAUCAGGAGGAACACCGAUGGCGAAGGCAGGUCUCUGGGCUGUAACUGACGCUGAGGAGCGAAAGCAUGGGGAGCGAACAGGAUUAGAUACCCUGGUAGUCCAUGCCGUAAACGUUGGGCACUAGGUGUGGGGACCAUUCCACGGUUUCCGCGCCGCAGCUAACGCAUUAAGUGCCCCGCCUGGGGAGUACGGCCGCAAGGCUAAAACUCAAAGGAAUUGACGGGGGCCCGCACAAGCGGCGGAGCAUGCGGAUUAAUUCGAUGCAACGCGAAGAACCUUACCAAGGCUUGACAUGUUCUCGAUCGCCGUAGAGAUACGGUUUCCCCUUUGGGGUGGGUUCACAGGUGGUGCAUGGUUGUCGUCAGCUCCUGUCCUGAGAUGUUGGGUUAAGUCCCGCAACCAACCGCAACCCUCGUUCCAUGUUGCCAGCACGUCGUGGUGGGGACUCAUGGGAGACUGCCGGGGUCACUUCGGAGGAAGGUGAGGACGACGUCAAAUCAUCAUGCCCCUUAUGUCUUGGGCUUCCCCAUGCUACAAUGGCCGGUACAUG
RNAcentral lists this ribosomal RNA (1199 nucleotides) under uncultured Micrococcus sp. Its description in RNAcentral is "bacterial SSU rRNA". It matches the Rfam family "Bacterial small subunit ribosomal RNA", at positions 52 to 1243 of the family's 1533-position model. The record is from RNAcentral. Lineage: Bacteria; Bacillati; Actinomycetota; Actinomycetes; Micrococcales; Micrococcaceae.